UACGUAGGCAGCGAGCGUUGUUCGGAAUUACUGGGCGUAAAGGGCGCGCAGGCGGCCGAUCAAGUCAGAUGUGAAAGCCCCGGGCUCAACCUGGGAAUAGCAUUUGGGACUGAUUGGCUAGAGUUCGGGAGAGGAGAGUGGAAUUCCCAGUGUAGAGGUGAAAUUCGUAGAUAUUGGGAAGAACACCGGUGGCGAAGGCGGCUCUCUGGACCGACACUGACGCUGAGGCGCGAAAGCGUGGGGAGCAAACAGG
Molecule: ribosomal RNA, 253 nt
Filed under: uncultured bacterium
Lineage: Bacteria
Description: partial 16S ribosomal RNA
Rfam family: Bacterial small subunit ribosomal RNA
Source: RNAcentral